RNAcentral lists this long non-coding RNA (2366 nucleotides) under Equus caballus (horse). RNAcentral describes it as "lncRNA (ENSECAG00000049249.1)". Lineage: Eukaryota; Metazoa; Chordata; Mammalia; Perissodactyla; Equidae. The record is from RNAcentral.
AUAUUAUAUAUAUAUUUACACACAAUGUACUUACAUACGUAUAUUGAAAAUGUUUCUAACUUUUCAGCCAGUUAUUUCAUUUCCAGGAGUCUAGCCAAAGGAAAUUAUCAGUUACAAUCAAAAUAUAUUUACAUACAGACUUGUUCAUCGCACCAUUAUAAUAGUGAAAAAUAAGAAACAACAUGAAGACCCCAAAAUAAGGAAUAAUUGGAUAAACUAUAGCAUUUUCACAGAAUGAACUAUUACUUAAUACUCCGGGAGAAACCCAGGUGUGGUGCAGGGGGGAGCACUAGUGCUGCUGAGUGUUCAUAAGUGUUUGGUGACAAGAUAUUUUCCUAGUCUAACGAGAUGGAGAAAUACUGGGUUAAACAAACUUAAGCAGAUUUCCUUUGAUAAGCUAAUGUGUAUGAUGAAUCUCCAAUAGAUGAUCUUUUUAUAUGCAGCAGUUCUCAAAUUUAACUCUAGUACCUUCUUUUCAAUAAUUUCUUGAGAAUAAUUUCUCUAGAACACAGUCUAGGAAAUGAUGCAUCUCACCAUCCUACACUAUUCCAUGUCUCAAUACUCUCAUCCCUGGAAUCACAAGAGAAAUGAUAAGUUGUGUAACAAUUCAUAAGAUGGGUGGGGUUGUGGUUAUAUAUAGAUGCUGUCCUGCUAUUAAAAAUAAUCAGAGCCAGUGCUGGCACCAUGGCACAGUGGUUAAGUUUAUGCCCUCUGUUUCAACAGCCCGGGGUUUGUGGGUUCAGAUCCUGGGCACAGACCUACACACUGCUUAUCAAGUGAUGCUGUGGCAGCAUCCCACAUACAAAAUAAAGGAAGAUUUCCACAAAUGUUAGCUCAGGGACAAUCUUCCUCAAGCAAAAAGAGGAAUAUUGGCAAAAGAUGUUAGCUCUGGGACAAUCUUUCUCACCAAAAAAAUAAAAAAUAAUCAGAGCCAAGCAUACCACAGUGGGCCAGGCUUUUUGCCCACCCCAGCACCAGUGGACUCGAUACAACUCAGCUUUGCCAAUCACCAAAGUGGGACACUUGAGCAGUAUCCCAGGGGUUAGAGAAGUUGGUCGCUCAACCAGCUCAUCCUUUCCUGGAUGCUGAUCAAUAUGAAGUGGAUUCACUCAUCCAAGAAAAGACAACUUCAUCUGUCCUCUCAAAAAUCUUUUGUAGAGAGUGACAUCAGCAUCAUGGCAGAGUAAGCUCUCCCGUUAGACUCUCCUCCCUAAGAUACAAUGAAAAGGACAUUCAUAAGCCAACAGAGGACAUUCACACAACACAAUAGAUGUCUGAGAGGUCCUCACAGCCAUACAUCUGAAUGCAGGUGUGCUGGACCCUCCUGGGAGGCAGUGGAAGGAGGUAAGCAGAUCUCCUCUCACUCCCUAGCAGCAGCAAUCUAGGACCUCAUUCAGCUGCCAGUGCAAGACAUUGAGAGGAGAAGGGGAAAAAGGCAGCCCUCCACAGGAGGACUUGCACCUCAGAGUUGCCUCCCAGCCUGUGGUGCACCAGGCGGGAGGGGCAUGGGGUGCUUUCUUUUCUGUGCACAAUCCCACACGCCCCUGCUCUGCACUUGCUGUCUGCCCACCUGGUCUGCUCAGCUUGGUGUGGAUGCCCCCAUGAUUGCUUAGCUGUGGUUUUGGAUUCAGGGUGUGGAGCUACCCUGCUCAUCAGCCAUGCUGUGGAGGCAUUCCACAUACAAAGUAGAGGAAGAUUGGCACAGAUGUUAGCUCAGAGCUAAUCUUUCUCAAGCAAAGAAGAAAAAAGAGGAAGAUUGGCAAUCGAUGUUAGUUCAGGGUGAAUCUUCCACAUCAAAAACAAAGAAAGAGUAAAUAGAGCUGAUAUUAUGGAGGACAGAAUCAAUAAUUUAGAGGACAGAAAUGUAGAAAUGCUGAAGAUGGAGGAGGCAAGAGAACUAAGACUAAAAAGAAAUGAAGAAAUUCUCCAAGAAAUAUCUGACUCAAUUAGGAGAUGCAACAUAAAGAUUAUAGGUAUUCAAGAGGGAGAAGAGAGGGGGAAAUGAGCAGAGAGCUUCUUCAAAGAAAUAAUAGCUGAGAACUUCCCAAACCUGCAGAAGGAGCUGGAAUUACAUGUAGAUGAAGAUAAUAGAACUUAUAAUUAUGUCAAUGUAAACAGACCUUCUCCAAGGCAUAUAUUAGUAAAACUGGCAAAAGUCAAUGACAAAGCAAAACUAUUAAGAGCAGCAAGGCAGAAGAAAAUAACCUACAAAGGAACCCCUAUUAGGCGUUCAGCCAAUUUCUCAGCAGAACCCUGCAGGAUAGGAGAGAGCGAAAUGAUAUAUUCAAAAUCCUGAAAGACAAAAGCUUUCAGCCAAGAAUACUCUAUCUUGUGAAACCAUCCUUCAGAUAUGAUGGAGAAAUAAA